GACGGGCGGUGUGUACGGGCAGGCUAGAGUGUGGUAGGGGAGACUGGAACUCCUGGUGUAGCGGUGAUAUGCGCAGAUAUCAGGAAGAACACCGAUGGCGAAGGCAGGUCUCUGGGCCAUUACUGACACUGAGAAGCGAAAGCAUGGGGAGCGAACAGGAUUAGAUAUCCUGGUAGUCCAUGCCGUAAACGUUGGGCACUAGGUGUGGGGAACAUUCCACGUUUUCCGCGCCGUAGCUAACGCAUUAAGUGCCCCGCCUGGGGAGUACGGCCGCAAGGCUAAAACUCAAAGGAAUUGACGGGGGCCCGCACAAGCGGCGGAGUAUGCGGAUUAAUUCGAUGCAACGCGAAGAACCUUACCAAGGCUUGACAUGCACCGGACGACUCCAGAGAUGGGGUUUUCUUCGGACUGGUGCACAGGUGGUGCAUGGUUGUCGUCAGCUCGUGUCGUGAGAUGUUGGGUUAAGUCCCGCAACGAGCGCAACCCUCGUUCCAUGUUGCCAGCGCGUUAUGGCGGGGACUCAUGGGAGACUGCCGGGGUCAACUCGGAGGAAGGUGGGGACGACGUCAAAUCAUCAUGCCCCUUAUGUCUUGGGCUUCACGCAUGCUACAAUGGCCGGUACAAUGGGUUGCGAAACUGUGAGGUGGAGCGAAUCCCAAAAGCCGGUCUCAGUUCGGAUUGGGGUCUGCAACUCGACCCCAUGAAGUCGGAGUCGCUAGUAAUCGCAGAUCAGCAACGCCGCGGUGAAUACGUUCCCGGGCCUUGUACACACCGCCCGUA
RNAcentral lists this ribosomal RNA (780 nucleotides) under uncultured bacterium. Its description in RNAcentral is "bacterial SSU rRNA". It matches the Rfam family "Bacterial small subunit ribosomal RNA", at positions 618 to 1398 of the family's 1533-position model. The record is from RNAcentral.